This 1495-nucleotide long non-coding RNA is filed under the name Oreochromis niloticus (Nile tilapia). RNAcentral's name for it is "lncRNA (ENSONIG00000043213.1)". The record is from RNAcentral. Lineage: Eukaryota; Metazoa; Chordata; Actinopteri; Cichliformes; Cichlidae.
UGGCAGUUAUUUCAGGGAGGGCCAAGAACAACACAACAAAUAAAACAUCCCUGAUAUAAAGUAAACAGAAUUUAACUCCAAAGAAAAUAAAAUGUACAAUUUACGAUAACCUACCUAACCAACACAAUAAACAGGAGAAUACAAAACAAAAGGCAGCUCUCUCCUCGCAUCAGUCUGAACACAGUCAAGGGUCACAUUCAAUUCCAAAGGCAUGUAAGCCUACAUAACUAUGGCAGUCAAAAUGGCCGGAGGAACCAGAAACAACGCCUAGACAGAAUACAAUGGAAAACCAGAAUACUCUUGGGGAAUGUAACAAAAACCAAACAUAUUGCCAAAACAUGAUUAAAUCAUAUGUACGAGUGGCUGCUUUUCAAUUUCUCUCUUUUCAGAUUUUCCAGGAAGGUUCUAUGGCUAAAGGUGGGCACAUCCAACCGCAAACAAAACUUUGUGGCCAGAUACUUCUUUGAGGCUGUUCAAGAACAGGGUGGUAUGCAAUAUACUUAAAAAAGGGGGGUUAAAAAAGAUUACAUUUUGGUUAUAAAUUUAUUUUUUCAUCAUUCACUAAUUAUCUUCAGUUUGUGUCUUUAGGCUGUCCUCAAAUGAUUCGGGGGACAGAGGAAAGGAGAACCUUGUUGUGGGUCAAAUGCAGAUGGCAUUUCACAUGCGAGAUCUUGGGAAUCAGGCAUGGAGGUGCUUCAGAAUGGGGACAUCAGUGCACAACCAGAGAGCUGAAUGUUUUAACAGUAUUUUAAAGCGGACAUGGAUUAAGAAUGGCUGACAACAUUUGAGGUAAAGCAAAUCUUUCACCUGUAAAACCUAAUAACAAAGACUAGCCAUCAAAAUUGCGCUAAACAUACGAUGGAUUAGUUUAUCUGAAAACACUAUGCUGGAAUUUUUUUUUUUUUUACAUCUGUACCUUUUCACUGAUGAAAUGCUCACCUUCACAACUUAUGUCUUUUUCAAACCACAUGCUUAGGCCAUGAUGGAGUCUGGGAUCCUUGAACUGGACAAUCCUGUGCACAUCAACUGCUUGCAGUACUCACACUUGCCACUGCUUCAAAGAGACUUAAAAACGGAGCAAACAGUUUGGAACACCCAUGACAUCCGCAAGCAACGCAAUGCACCAGGUCCAUUUGGGAAACCCGACCUUCUGUUUACCUCACCACCUCCUGGAUAUGGCAAUGUGCUGCACAUAGUUGACCCAGACCUUUUAGACUACGCCAAGCAAUUAAUCUGUGAGGUGGAAGAGCCUUCACUGGUAGCAAACCAGGAAUUCAGAGACAUGUGCCAGAACAUUUUAGAAAACAGCCAAUUUCCCUGCACACCUGAUGGUUGCCUUGCUGCAUACCUCAUGCUAGUCCAAGAGCUGACAACUGCCAUGAACAGAAAUGCAGUUCCUACACCUUCUACGUUUGCAGAGGCAAAUGACAUAUACAUCUUUCUGAAGAGACAGAGGAUGGAAGGUGCACCAGUAAACAUUUCCAAUGACCAAUAA